RNAcentral lists this ribosomal RNA (296 nucleotides) under uncultured bacterium. Its description in RNAcentral is "partial 16S ribosomal RNA". It matches the Rfam family "Bacterial small subunit ribosomal RNA", at positions 335 to 629 of the family's 1533-position model. The record is from RNAcentral.
GGUCCUACGGGAGGAAGCAGUGAGGAAUAGUGGUUAAUGGGGGAGAGGCUGAACCAGCCAAGUCGCGUGAGGGAAGACGGCCCUACGGGUUGUAAACCUCUUUUGUCGGGGAGCAAAGCGAACCACGUGUGGUUCAUUGAGAGUACCCGAAGAAAAAGCAUCGGCUAACUCCGUGCCAGCAGCCGCGGUAAUACGGAGGAUGCGAGCGUUAUCCGGAUUUAUUGGGUUUAAAGGGUGCGCAGGCGGAGGAGCAAGUCAGCGGUCAAAUUGCGGGGCUCAACACCGUACUGCCGUUG